GACGAACGCUGGCGGCGUGCUUAACACAUGCAAGUCGAACGGUAAGGCCCUUCGGGGUACACGAGUGGCGAACGGGUGAGUAACACGUGGGUGAUCUGCCCUGCACUUCGGGAUAAGCCUGGGAAACUGGGUCUAAUACCGGAUAGGACUCCUGGCUUCAUGGUUGGGGGUGGAAAGCUUUUGCGGUGUGGGAUGGGCCCGCGGCCUAUCAGCUUGCUGGUGGGGUAAUGGCCUACCAAGGCGACGACGGGUAGCCGGCCUGAGAGGGUGACCGGUCACACUGGGACUGAGAUACGGCCCAGACUCCUACGGGAGGCAGCAGUGGGGAAUAUUGCACAAUGGGCGCAAGCCUGAUGCAGCGACGCCGCGUGAGGGAUGACGGCCUUCGGGUUGUAAACCUCUUUCAGCUAUGACGAAGCGCAAGUGACGGUAGUAGCAGAAGAAGGACCGGCCAACUACGCGCCAGCAGCCGCAGUAA
This 478-nucleotide ribosomal RNA is filed under the name uncultured bacterium. RNAcentral describes it as "partial 16S ribosomal RNA". It matches the Rfam family "Bacterial small subunit ribosomal RNA", at positions 28 to 523 of the family's 1533-position model. The record is from RNAcentral.